Molecule: unclassified non-coding RNA, 258 nt
Filed under: Hevea brasiliensis (rubber tree)
Lineage: Eukaryota; Viridiplantae; Streptophyta; Magnoliopsida; Malpighiales; Euphorbiaceae
Source: RNAcentral
UAUUAUUUAUUUUAGGAAAAUUCAGUUGAUAUCACAAAAUAAAAGUGUCGUCAUAACCAAUUGAACAAAAUGGCAACUUCUCUAAUGUUACUAUAAAUUAACAAAGUAUUUGAAAACCAAUCCCAUUUAAUUUGUGUUUGAUUAGAAAUCAAAAUAAUAUGCAUAUAAUUAAUGAGUCGUAACAGUUUAUUUUAUUUUAUUUUCCUUUAAAUUUCUCAGUUAUUAAUUUCCAAGUUAAUUAUAGUUGUUGGAUAUUGG